UACGAAGGGUGCAAGCGUUACUCGGAAUUACUGGGCGUAAAGGGUGCGUAGGUGGUUUUUUAAGUCCGUUGUGAAAUCCCUGGGCUCAACCUGGGAAUGGCAGUGGAUACUGGAAAGCUAGAGUGCGGUAGAGGGUAGUGGAAUUCCCGGUGUAGCAGUGAAAUGCGUUGAUAUCGAUAGGAACUCCGGUGGCGAAGGCGGCAUACUGGACCACUUCUGACGCUGAGGCGCGAAAGCCAGGGGAGCAAACAGG
RNAcentral lists this ribosomal RNA (253 nucleotides) under uncultured bacterium. RNAcentral describes it as "partial 16S ribosomal RNA". It matches the Rfam family "Bacterial small subunit ribosomal RNA", at positions 524 to 776 of the family's 1533-position model. The record is from RNAcentral.